UACAUGGGGGGCAAACGUUGCUCGGAAUUAUUGGGCGUAAAGCGCGCGUAGGCGGUUACUCAAGUCGGAUGUGAAAGCCCUCGGCUUAACUGAGGAAGUGCACCCGAAACUGAGUAGCUAGAGUACUAAAGAGGGUCGCGGAAUUCCCGGUGUAGAGGUGAAAUUCGUAGAUAUCGGGAGGAAGGCCGGUGGCGAAGGCGGCGCUCUGGAACAUUUCUGACGCUGAGGCUCGAAAGCGUGGGGAGCAAACAGG
RNAcentral lists this ribosomal RNA (253 nucleotides) under uncultured bacterium. Its description in RNAcentral is "partial 16S ribosomal RNA". It matches the Rfam family "Bacterial small subunit ribosomal RNA", at positions 524 to 776 of the family's 1533-position model. The record is from RNAcentral.